AUUGGCAAUCAUAGCGUUAUAGAACCACCUGAUUCCAUUUCGAACUCAGAAGUGAAAUAUAACUGCGCCGAUGGUAGUGUAAGGUUUCCUUAUGCGAGAGUAGGUCAUUGCCAACA
Molecule: ribosomal RNA, 116 nt
Filed under: Psychromonas sp. Urea-02u-13
Lineage: Bacteria; Pseudomonadati; Pseudomonadota; Gammaproteobacteria; Alteromonadales; Psychromonadaceae
Source: RNAcentral